CUUGUCAGCAAUCACUUGGGACCUCGUUGUGGCUACCUUUCUUCCAAAAGUAGAUCGUCUAUCUGGUUGACCGCAGGCCUCAUGACUCCCUGUUGCUUCUCUGCAUUUCUACAGUGGAAAAGACCUUCAGGGUAACUAGGAGUGGGUGAGACUCAUCAAGAAAAAUAGCUUCUCUACCACAACAACAACAAAUGACGGGAGAGACAGAAACUUCUUUGGGAGAGCAGAGGGAAAAAAGGUUGCACAUUGCUUAAAGUUGGAGUUCUGGACCACUUGUUUCAUAAGCUUCCAGUUGUGCUUGAACAAAAAAGGCAACUUCUUUGCCCAAUGCUGGACUUAUUAAAUCAGAAUCUCUUGGAAAGUGGGACCCUGAAAGCUACAUUUAAUCUGCUUUUUGAAUGACUCUUAUCUGCUCAGGGGUGAACAGUAAAGAUCAGAAGACAAG
Molecule: long non-coding RNA, 445 nt
Filed under: Fukomys damarensis (Damara mole-rat)
Lineage: Eukaryota; Metazoa; Chordata; Mammalia; Rodentia; Bathyergidae
Description: lncRNA (ENSFDAG00000025757.1)
Source: RNAcentral